CAGUCGCCACGGUAAUACAGAGGGUGCAAGCGUUAAUCGGAUUUACUGGGCGUAAAGGGCGCGUAGGUGGUUAUGUAAGUGAGAUGUGAAAUCCCCGGGCUCAACCUGGGAACUGCAUCUUAUACUGCGUAGCUGGAGUGCAGUAGAGGGUAGUGGAAUUUCCGGUGUAGCGGUGAAAUUCGUAGAUAUUGGGAAGAACACCGGUGGCGAAGGCGGCAACCUGGUCCUUGACUGACGCUGAGGCGCGAAAGCGUGGGGAGCAAACAGGAUUAGAUACCCCCGUAGUCCCUGUCUCUUAUAC
Molecule: ribosomal RNA, 301 nt
Filed under: uncultured bacterium
Lineage: Bacteria
Description: partial 16S ribosomal RNA
Rfam family: Bacterial small subunit ribosomal RNA
Source: RNAcentral